UUGAUUUGAACCGAUGAAUCCCAAAACCAUAAAUAUUUCCAGAUUCAUGAGCCAUAACGGUUGACCUGGUCAAAUUCUGAGUUUGAUUAGGUUAGUUCUGGUUUGUUUCAUAGAUUGAACCGGUCCAUGAUCCGGUCUCUAUCUUUCACGACCUUCUCCUCAUCGUUUUUUCUUCAGCAGCACAACUUUUCAACCUCAACGACUCCUCUUAAAUGGCAAAAUGGCCG
Molecule: long non-coding RNA, 227 nt
Filed under: Manihot esculenta (cassava)
Lineage: Eukaryota; Viridiplantae; Streptophyta; Magnoliopsida; Malpighiales; Euphorbiaceae
Description: long non-coding RNA (MESC_LNC006500)
Source: RNAcentral